AAAUUGAAGAGUUUGAUCAUGGCUCAGAUUGAACGCUGGCGGCAGGCCUAACACAUGCAAGUCGAACGGUAACAGGAAGCAGCGUGCUGCUUUGCUGACGAGUGGCGGACGGGUGAGUAAUGUCUGGGAAACUGCCUGAUGGAGGGGGAUAACUACUGGAAACGGUAGCUAAUACCGCAUAAUGUCGCAAGACCAAAGAGGGGGACCUUAGGGCCUCUUGCCAUCGGAUGUGCCCAGAUGGGAUUAGCUAGUAGGUGGGGUAA
Molecule: ribosomal RNA, 263 nt
Filed under: Escherichia coli
Lineage: Bacteria; Pseudomonadati; Pseudomonadota; Gammaproteobacteria; Enterobacterales; Enterobacteriaceae
Description: partial 16S ribosomal RNA
Rfam family: Bacterial small subunit ribosomal RNA
Source: RNAcentral